Long non-coding RNA from Arabidopsis thaliana (thale cress), 1587 nucleotides. RefSeq annotates it as other RNA. The transcript has a single exon. The record is from RefSeq. NCBI's taxonomy places the organism in Eukaryota, Viridiplantae, Streptophyta, Magnoliopsida, Brassicales, Brassicaceae.
CCUGGAUUGAUCAUAAGUUCAUCAAGAGUGAUGGUUUCCCAUUUUUUGGCUAUGAAGUUGAACUCAAAAGGAACAUUAAACUGAUCGCAGAACCUUUUCAGUCUUCGACCAGUCUCUUCAACGCGGUCUGAAGGACGAAAACCCGCUUGUGGCAGCUCGAUUCCAGUCACCCGAAGCAUUGGUGGUCCGCCCGGUCGUUUAGACAGAGCUCGUAACAAACAAGGCCAUUGAAAGCCGUAGAGAACUCCAAAAUCAACUAUGUGAAGCUUAGUUGCUUUCAUAGCAAGUUCGUAAAUCGAUUUGUUCGCAGCGAAGUAAUCAGUUACAUAGAUGGGACAAGUAUGAACAAACAGCUUGUACGCUUUCAAAAUGUCCACCAUCGAUGUCGUGCUUGAAGGAAACGGAUUAGAAACAGGCGGUGAGAUGUUUCCAGUGAUACGUGCCUCAAGCGCCUCUGCAAAGUAAAAAGCUAGUCUUUGUGUUCCAUCUCCAUUGCUAGAAGAGUGUGCUCUUAUCUCCUUGAGUUUAUCUGUAGCUCUUCUCUGGUCAAAGCUCGCUACAGCUUGAGCACAUUGCGUCAAGAGACUUCGUAGAUCAACGGUAUUAGUUUUGUGCGUCUUUGAUUUGUUCGAUGAACCUUUUGCUCUUCCUGCUCUGUUUGGAGUACUCUGUUUCGUUAUUACUGUUCUUUCUUCUUCUUCUUCUUGGUUCGUUUUGCAUACCAACAACACAUGUUCUAACUUCACUGCUAACUCUUCCAUCUCCGAGACAAAUAUCGCUGGUUGUUUGUUUCUCCGAUUGUUCUCAAGAUCAUCUUCUUCAUCAUUCCGAUGACGGUACUUUCUCUGUGAUUCUCCGCUCGAAACCAACGCUGAUGAAUCUGUUGUUGUGCUGGGAAAACAGAAAUCUUGGUCACCGGAGUUUUGAUCGGAGGAGGAGCUAGUGUUCUGAUCAGAUUCUGGAGAUUGCUGUUGAAUUAUCUCGUAGAAGGAUCUCUCAGCGGCUUGUAAAGCUAAAUCGUCACGAGAUAUACCUACGAAGUCUUCUUCGUCCAUCAACAUAUCAUUGAUGUACUUCAGAACAGGAGAGUUAUCCAAACACACCGUUGGAGGUGAAUCGUUUGGUGAAGACUGAUUCUGAGACUCGUGGAAAUCAGGGAAGAGAUUGUUCCCAGAUUCGAGAUUGUUUCUGGGUUUGCAGCAAGAUCCAGAUCCGUUCUCAAAUCUAAACCCAUCAACUGAAACUUGAAGCAGGGCGUCCAUGGUGAUGAUGAUGAUGAUGAAGAAACAGAGUUUGAAAGUUGAGAGCUUUUGUCAAAUUUUACCUAAAGAAGAAAAAAAAGUUAAGAGCUUUUUUUUUUGUUCAAUGAAGAGAAGAAAGCGGUGAGAAAGUUCAUGUGAACACAGUUGUGAGAGAAAGAGAGAGCUUUAAAUAUGAGAAAAAUUUAUGGUUCUUUUUCGUUUGCAGAGCAAAAGAAAAAAAUGGAACUUUCGAGGAAAACAGUAAGCAGCCACAAAAAGUGGAUCAAGUUAUUAAAACAUACAUAAUUUAAGAGGUUAGUUAAUUUGUGUCGGAUCUAUCUGCAAC